Molecule: ribosomal RNA, 539 nt
Filed under: Aliidiomarina maris
Lineage: Bacteria; Pseudomonadati; Pseudomonadota; Gammaproteobacteria; Alteromonadales; Idiomarinaceae
Description: partial 23S ribosomal RNA
Rfam family: Bacterial large subunit ribosomal RNA
Source: RNAcentral
GUUGUAUGGUUAAGUGACUAAGCGUACACGGUGGAUGCCUAGGCAGUUGGAGGCGAUGAAGGACGUACUAACUUGCGAUAAGCCAUGAUGAGCUAGUAAGAAGCAUUUGAAUCAUGGAUUUCCGAAUGGGGAAACCCACUCUGUUUACAGAGUAUCUUGCACUGAAUACAUAGGUGUAAGAAGCGAACCCGGAGAACUGAAACAUCUAAGUACCCGGAGGAAAAGAAAUCAAUUGAGAUUCCGUUAGUAGCGGCGAGCGAACGCGGAUUAGCCCUUAAGUUUAUUAAGGUUUAGUGGAAGGCUCUGGAAAGUGCCGCGAUACAGGGUGAUAGCCCCGUACACGAAAAACCUUAGUAAGUGAAAACGAGUAGGUCGGGACACGUGUUAUCUUGACUGAAUAUGGGGGGACCAUCCUCCAAGGCUAAAUACUCCCAACUGACCGAUAGUGAACCAGUACCGUGAGGGAAAGGCGAAAAGAACCCCUGUGAGGGGAGUGAAAUAGAACCUGAAACCGUGUACGUACAAGCAGUAGGAGCACC